Small nuclear RNA from Anser brachyrhynchus (Pink-footed goose), 119 nucleotides. Its record names the gene U5. It matches the Rfam family "U5 spliceosomal RNA". Rfam says of the family: U5 RNA is a component of both types of known spliceosome. The record is from Ensembl. NCBI's taxonomy places the organism in Eukaryota, Metazoa, Chordata, Aves, Anseriformes, Anatidae.
AUACUCUGGUUUCUCUUCAAAUCGUAUAAAUCUUUCCCCCUUACUAACGAUUUAUGUGGAGAGGAACAAGCACUAGUGUUUUGGAAUUUUCUGAGGCUCUGCUUCAGCUUUUUAGAGGU